UCUAGGGAGAGACAGGGACAGUGUGUAAUGUGAGAAUAACUCAAUUGGCUUUGCAGUUGACUCUAAUUUUCAUUUCGAUCCAUAGACAUGGAGCUGCUGCAGGAGAUGGACCACUUCCUGUAGGUAACGAUCCAUAGACAUGGAGCUGCUGCAGGAGAUAGACCACUUCCUGUAGGUAACGAUCCAUAGACAUGGAGCUGCUGCAGGAGAUAGACCACUUCCUGUAGGUAACGAUCCAUAGACAUGGAGCUGCUGCAGGAGAUAGACCACUUCCUGUAGGUAACGAUCCAUAGACAUGGAGCUGCUGCAGGAGAUAGACCACUUCCUGUAGGUAACGAUCCAUAGACAUGGAGCUGCUGCAGGAGAUAGACCACUUCCUGUAGGUAACGAUCCAUAGACAUGGAGCUGCUGCAGGAGAUAGACCACUUCCUGUAGGUAACGAUCCAUAGACAUGGAGCUGCUGCAGGAGAUAGACCACUUCCUGUAGGUAACGAUCCAUAGACAUGGAGCUGCUGCAGGAGAUAGACCACUUCCUGUAGGUAACGAUCCAUAGACAUGGAGCUGCUGCAGGAGAUAGACC
Long non-coding RNA from Oncorhynchus keta (chum salmon), 580 nucleotides. RefSeq lists it as uncharacterized. The record is from RefSeq and is a predicted model, not a curated record. The transcript has 3 exons. NCBI's taxonomy places the organism in Eukaryota, Metazoa, Chordata, Actinopteri, Salmoniformes, Salmonidae.